This 360-nucleotide unclassified non-coding RNA is filed under the name Hevea brasiliensis (rubber tree). The record is from RNAcentral. Lineage: Eukaryota; Viridiplantae; Streptophyta; Magnoliopsida; Malpighiales; Euphorbiaceae.
GUAUGAAUCUAUCUUUCUACCUAAAGAUAAAAUCUGGGAGGCUUUAAAAUUUAUUUAUUUGUUUCUUGGUCUGAUAUGCUUUGCCAAUAGUUUGAGCAGGUAAUUGGAUGAUGACUAGAACUGUUUUAUGGAUUUAGCUCUUCUUUUUUAAAGAAAAGAAUUUUUCUUAAAAAAAUUCUAUUAACAAUGGUGAAAAUAAUAGAUGAUUAUUGGCAUUGGUAUGUGGGAUUCACAAAUUAGAUUGUUCAUCCUAUAGAGUAAAAUCUUUGUUUCUUACGACAAAUAAACACACACAUAUGCACGCUCACGCACAAAGAAAGAAUAAAAAUGUGAUGAACCAAAAUCAAAUUGGAAGUGGAA